Molecule: long non-coding RNA, 398 nt
Filed under: Androctonus crassicauda
Lineage: Eukaryota; Metazoa; Arthropoda; Arachnida; Scorpiones; Buthidae
Source: RNAcentral
GGAAAACUCCAAAAGUGAUCAUUGUUCUUUCUAUUUAUAGAUUAGUGCUUAUUACAGUAUCCUUUUUGUUGUAAUACUAUUCUUAAUUUUAAAACCAAUUUAAUAAACCGUAAUUUCACACAAUUAUGAUCCUAAGCCACAAACUAUGGUCCAAACACCUGCACUCACAAAAACAUCGAUAACUGGAAGCCUAAUGACAUCUAAUGGGCUAUUUAAGUACUAUAGCAAAGAGCAUAGACAGUGUAAUAUUGUGAUUUUGUUUGAAAGCCCCUAUCUGCCAUGUUUUUCCACUAGUCAACUGUCAUUUGGGGUUAUAUUUUCAUGUUACAUUGUCUCCUGCAAACUUUCUUGGCCACCAACUACUACAACAAGUUGUUCUGUGCUGUUGAUGAUCUACG